AUGCACGCCCCCUUUCCAAGGAGCAAACCAGAGGCACCCCAAAGCGCCUUGCAGGGCUUCUCCGGAGGGUCCACUGGUCACACGCUGGGAUCGCCAAGCCGCCCAGCCUCCCGUCCAGUUCUCUGUGGGUUCUUGCGGUGUAUCUCACCAAAGACUGGGUGGGCGAACCUGGGCCCAGCCCAGGGAGUCCCAUUUCUCAGCCUUGGCCAGAGAGGCGGCGGCAAGGUCCAGUCCCCUACCCCAAACGCAGUGACUACUGCGCGGGGCAGAGGACCACGGGCUCUGGGAGUGGGGGUUCCCCUUCUAAGGGGCAUCCGAGUUUCUGAACAGGUGACACUCGGGGUGAUGCAGGCGGCACUCUCCAACGCCCCCCGCCCCAAUCACACACCGAGGACCUCUGCGGAGCCCCGGAUCCUUUCAACUCCGCGCCGUCCCCGCAGGUCGGCCGUGUGGCGCCCCCUGUCGCCUCUGCGCGCGCCGGGACACUCACCGCAUAGUGCAGCUGCGGUUUCUCGCGGUUCACCGGGUCCCCCAUGUCGCCACCGGGGGAGGAGUAGCAGGCUCUGGGGCUCAGGCUGGGGUCGUGGCGCCUCUUCGGGGUCCCCCUAUUUUACCGCCAUCCUCGGGCAGCCCCCGGACUCGAGCCCUGCUCCCUGCGCCCAGAGCGCGGUGCAAAGCGUCCGGGGCACCAGCGUCCCGCCGCGGAGCCGGUGGGGACAGGGAGGAGGCGACGGCGAAGGGGGAGGAGGAGGAGGAGGAGAAGGAGGAGGGAGAGGCCGAGUCAAAUUCGAUGGGCGGGCGUUUAAUUCCUUCCGCUCCUGCCGGGCCCCAGUCUCGACCGCCGCUGCCAGCUGUUUGGGGGCUACAGCGACCGAGCGCGCCCACGACAGGUGUCAGGGCGGCCGGCGCUCCGAACUCCUGCCACCCCCGCCCCUCCCCGAGCCCACGGGCCCCGGGAUGCCAGGGCCGGGGCUGCUAACGCCUUCACCACCAGCGAGAGGGAGAGAGCUUGGGUUUCCAAGAAAGAGACUUUGA
RNAcentral lists this long non-coding RNA (1035 nucleotides) under Bos grunniens (domestic yak). RNAcentral's name for it is "lncRNA (ENSBGRG00000017592.1)". Lineage: Eukaryota; Metazoa; Chordata; Mammalia; Artiodactyla; Bovidae. The record is from RNAcentral.